UAGUUUGGAAGAAAAUAUAUACAAAAAAAAAAAAAGAGGAAAAAAGAAAUGAUAAAAAAAAAAAAAAAAAAGUAUCAGCGGAUUUUUUUUUUUUUUUUUUUUUUUUUUUUUAUCUUUUGUUUUUGCUUUUCACC
This 134-nucleotide non-coding RNA is filed under the name Partenskyella glossopodia. Lineage: Eukaryota; Cercozoa; Chlorarachniophyceae. The record is from RNAcentral.